GCUGACAGACAACAGAAGGGACUUCCUGCCAGGGGAGGAGCUAUGAGCAGAAGGCAGUGAGAGCCCUCUCCUUCCUUGAAGACCAGGAAGAUGUGCAUCCCUCCAACCCUGCUGUGCCUGGGCUCCACCCGGUCUCCCUUUACUCAAUUUCCUCUCAGCCAUCUCUUUGCUGACUGCUCCCUAGUCCUGGUUCUUAACCCACAGAUAUUUAAAGUGGAAAUGAGAGAACUGAAGUUCUGGAAAGGUGAGAAUCAAGUCUACAGCCCAUUCGUUCAGCAACUUCCUGUUUCCACCCCGUGAAGUUCAGCAGCGCAGCAGCGCAGAGGGAAUUUGCACAGAUGGUUGUGGUGGCAUGGCCCCCGAUCUGUGAGGAAUUCUGGAGUUCUGGAGAAUAGAAGGGGAGCCAAAGACUGGAGGUGAAAAUAGGAGCUUCCAAUCUUUAGGGAAGGACUUCUUUGGUGGUCCAGUGGUUAAGACUCCGCGCUCCCACUGCAGGGGGCGCAGGUUCGAUCCCUGGUUGGGGAACUAAGACCCCACAUGCCUCACAGCCAAAAUAAAUAAAUAAUAAUAAUAAGGAGGAGGGAAAGAUAACCCCCACCACGAUUUUGGUAGGUGAGAGAGGAAAGCAAGGGUCAUCAGGAGCUAGCUGAGGUUUGCUAAUCCCUGACCACUCAAGUGGGCACGGGCAUCACCUGGGAGACGGUAAGAACUGCUGAGAAUCUCGACCCACUCCAGACCUACUCAUCACAACUUGCAUUUUUUUUUUUUACCUUUUUUUUUUUUUGGCCCCGCUGUGCGGCAUGCGGCGUCUUAGUUCUCCAACCGGGGAUCGAACCCAUGCCCCCUCCAUUGGGAGCGUGGGGUCUUAACCACCGGACCACCAGGGAAGUCCCACAACUUGCAUUUAACAAGAUUCAGAGGUGAUUCGAAUGUACAUUCAAGACUGAGACGCGCUUAUCACAAGAAAAAAAAAAUUGGAACUAUGUGUGGUGAUGGAUUGUGUUGGUCUUUUCACAAUAUAUACAAAUAUAGAAUCAUCAUUAUGUUGUACAGCUGAACCUAAUAUAAUGUUAUAUGCCAAUUAUACCUUAAAAAAAGAGAAAGAGAAUAAAAAACAGACAAGAAGCA
Orcinus orca (killer whale) is the source of this 1128-nucleotide long non-coding RNA. RefSeq lists it as uncharacterized. NCBI's taxonomy places the organism in Eukaryota, Metazoa, Chordata, Mammalia, Artiodactyla, Delphinidae. The record is from RefSeq and is a predicted model, not a curated record. The transcript has 3 exons.